AUGCAACAUGGUAGUUAUUUCUGCAAUGCAGCCGUUGUUUCAGGAAUUGUUGUUGCAACCCGGCCGUUGUUUCAGGAAUUGUUCCUCCAAUCUCCAAAUUUUUGCGACAUGGUAGUUGUUUCUGCAACAACCCAGCCGUUGUUUCAGGAAUUGUUCUUGCAAUCUCCAAAUUUUUACAACAUAGUAGUUAUUUCUGCAACACAGUCAUUGUUUCGGGAAUUGUUUUCUGCAACGCGAUCAUUGUUUCAGGAAUUGUUUCUGCAACACAACUGUUGUUUCUGCAACUGGUUUGUUGUUUCGGGAAUUAAUGUGUCGGGGAAGGCGACGCGCGUGCGCGAGGAGUUAGAUCGGACGACUCGCGCACGAAGAUCUGACGGCUGUCAAGGUGGUGGAUGUUUACUAAACAUCCACCGGCAGACGCGUAGCAGCUCCCUCAAAGAACUAGACAGAAUUCCCUUAAAAAAAAUAGGAUAUCUUCCUCUCUUCGACGUGGAACUCACGUGA
RNAcentral lists this ribosomal RNA (504 nucleotides) under Triticum aestivum (bread wheat). Its description in RNAcentral is "partial small subunit ribosomal RNA". Lineage: Eukaryota; Viridiplantae; Streptophyta; Magnoliopsida; Poales; Poaceae. The record is from RNAcentral.